This 863-nucleotide ribosomal RNA is filed under the name Staphylococcus aureus. RNAcentral describes it as "partial 23S ribosomal RNA". It matches the Rfam family "Bacterial large subunit ribosomal RNA", at positions 2002 to 2866 of the family's 2925-position model. The record is from RNAcentral. Lineage: Bacteria; Bacillati; Bacillota; Bacilli; Caryophanales; Staphylococcaceae.
UAACGAUUUGGGCACUGUCUCAACGAGAGACUCGGUGAAAUCAUAGUACCUGUGAAGAUGCAGGUUACCCGCGACAGGACGGAAAGACCCCGUGGAGCUUUACUGUAGCCUGAUAUUGAAAUUCGGCACAGCUUGUACAGGAUAGGUAGGAGCCUUUGAAACGUGAGCGCUAGCUUACGUGGAGGCGCUGGUGGGAUACUACCCUAGCUGUGUUGGCUUUCUAACCCGCACCACUUAUCGUGGUGGGAGACAGUGUCAGGCGGGCAGUUUGACUGGGGCGGUCGCCUCCUAAAAGGUAACGGAGGCGCUCAAAGGUUCCCUCAGAAUGGUUGGAAAUCAUUCAUAGAGUGUAAAGGCAUAAGGGAGCUUGACUGCGAGACCUACAAGUCGAGCAGGGUCGAAAGACGGACUUAGUGAUCCGGUGGUUCCGCAUGGAAGGGCCAUCGCUCAACGGAUAAAAGCUACCCCGGGGAUAACAGGCUUAUCUCCCCCAAGAGUUCACAUCGACGGGGAGGUUUGGCACCUCGAUGUCGGCUCAUCGCAUCCUGGGGCUGUAGUCGGUCCCAAGGGUUGGGCUGUUCGCCCAUUAAAGCGGUACGCGAGCUGGGUUCAGAACGUCGUGAGACAGUUCGGUCCCUAUCCGUCGUGGGCGUAGGAAAUUUGAGAGGAGCUGUCCUUAGUACGAGAGGACCGGGAUGGACAUACCUCUGGUGUACCAGUUGUCGUGCCAACGGCAUAGCUGGGUAGCUAUGUGUGGACGGGAUAAGUGCUGAAAGCAUCUAAGCAUGAAGCCCCCCUCAAGAUGAGAUUUCCCAACUUCGGUUAUAAGAUCCCUCAAAGAUGAUGAGGUUAAUAGGUUCGAG